RNAcentral lists this long non-coding RNA (199 nucleotides) under Amborella trichopoda. RNAcentral describes it as "long non-coding RNA (ATRI_LNC002912)". The record is from RNAcentral. Lineage: Eukaryota; Viridiplantae; Streptophyta; Magnoliopsida; Amborellales; Amborellaceae.
UUCCUAGCAAAGAAGACCUUCCAAUUUUUAGAGGACAUUUACCUUCCAGUUAUCAAACAGGUCCAAGGUUACAAAAUGACAUAAAGUGCUUACAUAUGAUCUCCACAAAACAAGAGUGGAUGAUCAAAAGACAACAAAAUUUCUAAAAAAAGGUACUGAAAUGAAUAAAAUAAUCAAUCUCAUUUUUAUGCAUAAUAAC